Molecule: ribosomal RNA, 458 nt
Filed under: uncultured bacterium
Lineage: Bacteria
Description: partial 16S ribosomal RNA
Rfam family: Bacterial small subunit ribosomal RNA
Source: RNAcentral
ACUACGGGGUGCAGCAGUGAGGAAUAUUGGUCAAUGGGCGAGAGCCUGAACCAGCCAAGUCGCGUGAGGGAGUACUGCCCUAUGGGUUGUAAACCUCUUUUGUCGGGGAGCAAAAGCCGGACGUGUCCGGCUGUGAGAGUACCCGAAGAAAAAGCAUCGGCUAACUCAGUGCCAGCAGACGCGGUAAUACGGAGGAUGCGAGCGUUAUCCGGAUUUAUUGGGUUUAAAGGGUGCGCAGGCGGGUUUUUAAGGCAGCGGUCAAAUAGUGGGGCUCAACCCCAUCCAGCAGUUGAAACUGGGGAUCUAGAGUGUGCGAGAGGUAUGCGGAAUGCGUGGUGUAGCGGUGAAAUGCAUAGAUAUCACGCAGAACCCCGAUUGCGAAGGCAGCAUACCGGUGCACAACUGACGCUCAGGCACGAAAGCGUGGGUAUCGAACAGGAUUAGAUACCCCAGUAGUC